Brachypodium distachyon (stiff brome) is the source of this 491-nucleotide long non-coding RNA. RefSeq lists it as uncharacterized. The transcript is spliced from 3 exons. NCBI's taxonomy places the organism in Eukaryota, Viridiplantae, Streptophyta, Magnoliopsida, Poales, Poaceae. The record is from RefSeq and is a predicted model, not a curated record.
UGCUCUCCAGCGUGGAAGGUGCUCGACGUAUUUUUUGCAAGGAUGUUGCUGCGAAUUUGGUGCUCUAUUGCUUGAUAAGUCUUUUGAAAUAGAUUGCUCUUUGGUGCGAGAGGUGCUUAACAUUUUGUUUGCAAGGGCUACUGCUGCAAAGUUGCUGCCCCAUUGCUUGAUAGGUCUGCUGGCGUAGUGAAAUGGAGGCAGAAAUUCUGGAUGGGAAAGCUUCAACUUCAGGUUGUCCUGAAAUAACUGACAUGGAUUUGUAUGAAGUCUUGUAUAAAUCCACGUCGCUUAUUUCAGAACGGAGGGAGUGCGAUGGGUUUUAGCAUAACACGACAUCUAGCAUUUUGACUCCUUAUCCUCAAUCAGCAUUGCAGGAACCAAUGAUUCAGCAAACAUCCAAGAAAGGAGAGAGGAUAACCACAAUAAAAGAAACGUAUUAGCAUCCAUGUUUGAUAGUGUAUUUAUUCUUUUUUGCCUGUUCUAAUUAACAG